RNAcentral lists this ribosomal RNA (1563 nucleotides) under Vibrio natriegens NBRC 15636 = ATCC 14048 = DSM 759. Its description in RNAcentral is "bacterial SSU rRNA". It matches the Rfam family "Bacterial small subunit ribosomal RNA". The record is from RNAcentral. Lineage: Bacteria; Pseudomonadati; Pseudomonadota; Gammaproteobacteria; Vibrionales; Vibrionaceae.
AAAUUGAAGAGUUUGAUCAUGGCUCAGAUUGAACGCUGGCGGCAGGCCUAACACAUGCAAGUCGAGCGGAAACGAGUUAACUGAACCUUCGGGGGACGUUAACGGCGUCGAGCGGCGGACGGGUGAGUAAUGCCUAGGAAAUUGCCCUGAUGUGGGGGAUAACCAUUGGAAACGAUGGCUAAUACCGCAUGAUGCCUACGGGCCAAAGAGGGGGGACCUUCGGGCCUCUCGCGUCAGGAUAUGCCUAGGUGGGAUUAGCUAGUUGGUGAGGUAAGGGCUCACCAAGGCGACGAUCCCUAGCUGGUCUGAGAGGAUGAUCAGCCACACUGGAACUGAGACACGGUCCAGACUCCUACGGGAGGCAGCAGUGGGGAAUAUUGCACAAUGGGCGCAAGCCUGAUGCAGCCAUGCCGCGUGUGUGAAGAAGGCCUUCGGGUUGUAAAGCACUUUCAGUCGUGAGGAAGGUAGUGUAGUUAAUAGCUGCAUUAUUUGACGUUAGCGACAGAAGAAGCACCGGCUAACUCCGUGCCAGCAGCCGCGGUAAUACGGAGGGUGCGAGCGUUAAUCGGAAUUACUGGGCGUAAAGCGCAUGCAGGUGGUUUGUUAAGUCAGAUGUGAAAGCCCGGGGCUCAACCUCGGAAUAGCAUUUGAAACUGGCAGACUAGAGUACUGUAGAGGGGGGUAGAAUUUCAGGUGUAGCGGUGAAAUGCGUAGAGAUCUGAAGGAAUACCGGUGGCGAAGGCGGCCCCCUGGACAGAUACUGACACUCAGAUGCGAAAGCGUGGGGAGCAAACAGGAUUAGAUACCCUGGUAGUCCACGCCGUAAACGAUGUCUACUUGGAGGUUGUGGCCUUGAGCCGUGGCUUUCGGAGCUAACGCGUUAAGUAGACCGCCUGGGGAGUACGGUCGCAAGAUUAAAACUCAAAUGAAUUGACGGGGGCCCGCACAAGCGGUGGAGCAUGUGGUUUAAUUCGAUGCAACGCGAAGAACCUUACCUACUCUUGACAUCCAGAGAACUUUUCAGAGAUGAAUUGGUGCCUUCGGGAACUCUGAGACAGGUGCUGCAUGGCUGUCGUCAGCUCGUGUUGUGAAAUGUUGGGUUAAGUCCCGCAACGAGCGCAACCCUUAUCCUUGUUUGCCAGCGAGUAAUGUCGGGAACUCCAGGGAGACUGCCGGUGAUAAACCGGAGGAAGGUGGGGACGACGUCAAGUCAUCAUGGCCCUUACGAGUAGGGCUACACACGUGCUACAAUGGCGCAUACAGAGGGCGGCCAACUUGCGAAAGUGAGCGAAUCCCAAAAAGUGCGUCGUAGUCCGGAUUGGAGUCUGCAACUCGACUCCAUGAAGUCGGAAUCGCUAGUAAUCGUGGAUCAGAAUGCCACGGUGAAUACGUUCCCGGGCCUUGUACACACCGCCCGUCACACCAUGGGAGUGGGCUGCAAAAGAAGUAGGUAGUUUAACCUUCGGGGGGACGCUUACCACUUUGUGGUUCAUGACUGGGGUGAAGUCGUAACAAGGUAGCGCUAGGGGAACCUGGCGCUGGAUCACCUCCUUAUACGAUGAU